RNAcentral lists this long non-coding RNA (527 nucleotides) under Fukomys damarensis (Damara mole-rat). Its description in RNAcentral is "lncRNA (ENSFDAG00000026971.1)". The record is from RNAcentral. Lineage: Eukaryota; Metazoa; Chordata; Mammalia; Rodentia; Bathyergidae.
AUGUAUGUUAGAGGUGUCUGCACAGAGACCCACAGUCCAACUUCUACUCAGCAGUGGACUCAUCACGGGCAGGAGCUGGGGGACCCUGUUAUUCAACUCACGAGGAGCUCAAAGAAGCACGUGAGAAGUAACCAGAAGUGCAACAAAGGAGGAAGAACUUUACGACACGUGUUCUGGAGUAAUGAAUUUUAAUUGCCAGAAGUCAAUAGAUUGGACAAACAUUGAAAUGUUAACCUUUGAUGGAUAGACAUUUACUUAGGGAUUGACUUUGUGGGCUCAGAUGAAACAUCAAAACAACUGGGGGCUGUCAGUAACGGCAGGUAACUGCCCAUUUGAGCUUAGCUAUUAUUAUUUUUACAGUAAAACCCUCAGGGAUGAAGUAGGAUAUGAGGACCCUAAAAUCAUGGGAGGAGCCCUACUGGGAUACAAAUGCACCACUUAAUUUUGUGAGAUCUUCAUUACAUUUUGUCUGUUUAACAAGCAGCCAAAAACUACUUGUUGAGUUGAGUUUGAAUUAAAAAGGGGGA